AUGCCCAUCACCAGGGGAUCGUGUUGAACAGCAGAUUCUGGUUCAACCAGGGCAGGUGGGCCUGAGAGUCUGCAUUCCUCACACACUCCCAGGGGUUCCCCC
This 102-nucleotide microRNA precursor is filed under the name Marmota monax (woodchuck). Lineage: Eukaryota; Metazoa; Chordata; Mammalia; Rodentia; Sciuridae. The record is from RNAcentral.